GUGCUCUCAUGUGCAGCAUAUACACUAAAAUUAGAACAAUAUUGAGAAGAUGAGCAUGGCCUCUGAACAAGGAUGAAUACAAAUUUGUGAAGCAUUCUACAGUUUU
RNAcentral lists this small nuclear RNA (106 nucleotides) under Microcebus murinus (gray mouse lemur). Lineage: Eukaryota; Metazoa; Chordata; Mammalia; Primates; Cheirogaleidae. The record is from RNAcentral.